AUCACUUCUCAGCCUUUUGGCUAAGAUCCAGUAUUUGUUCUAAUCAGCUUAACAUAUGGUAUGUCCUCUGUCUGAAGAUGGUAUGUUAAAUGUUAAUUUUUGGAGCAAGUAGAUGGAAUAGGAGUUUGCUCUGUCAACUUUACAUAUUGACCUGAUAUUACAGUACUUCCAGGAAUGGUGCACCCUAU
RNAcentral lists this small nuclear RNA (188 nucleotides) under Castor canadensis (American beaver). Its description in RNAcentral is "U2 spliceosomal RNA (ENSCCNG00000020348.1)". It matches the Rfam family "U2 spliceosomal RNA". From Rfam's summary of the family: U2 is a small nuclear RNA (snRNA) component of the spliceosome (involved in pre-mRNA splicing). Complementary binding between U2 snRNA (in an area lying towards the 5' end but 3' to hairpin I) and the branchpoint sequence (BPS) of the intron results the bulging out of an unpaired adenosine, on the BPS, which initiates a nucleophilic attack at the intronic 5' splice site, thus starting the first of two transesterification reactions that mediate splicing. The record is from Rfam by way of RNAcentral. Lineage: Eukaryota; Metazoa; Chordata; Mammalia; Rodentia; Castoridae.